UCUGGAGCAGGACGUCUUUUAGGUAAGAAGAGGUUCGUGAGUUAGUCCUGCUCUUGUGCGCCGUCUGUUUGAUGUAGUUUAAGAUAUUGGGAAGGCACCGGCGCCUUUGUGCGCCGUAUCCGUAGCGGGCAUCACUCCUGACAGUCCUAUAGCUCAGUUGGUCAGAGCGCCACACUGAUAAUGUGGAGGUCGGCAGUUCAAGUCUGCCUGGGACUACGGCGGGACCCCGCGUCGGUGACGCGUCCUCUUCGGGGGGAUUAGCUCAGCUGGCUAGAGCACCUGCUUUGCAAGCAGGGGGUCAACGGUUCGAAUCCGUUAUUCUCCACCCUUCCGGACACUUGUUCCGGAUCCGAUCUUUGACAUUCUGACACAAGCAAGACUGCAGUCUGCCCCUGACAGGGCAGGCUCAAUGAAGAAAACUGAAGUAUGAGCUCCCGCGGCACGUGUAUGUGCCGUGUGGACAAUCAGAGGCGAAAGUAAGAAAGGGCGCAUGGCGGAUGCCUUGGCUCACGGAGGCGAUGAAGGACGUGAUAAGCUGCGAUAAGCCGCGGGUAGGUGCAAAUGACCAUUGAUCCGCGGAUUUG
This 584-nucleotide unclassified non-coding RNA is filed under the name uncultured bacterium. RNAcentral's name for it is "partial contains 16S ribosomal RNA, 16S-23S ribosomal RNA intergenic spacer, and 23S ribosomal RNA". The stretch from base 471 to 584 matches the Rfam family "Bacterial large subunit ribosomal RNA", at positions 1 to 114 of the family's 2925-position model. The record is from RNAcentral.